UAAUAAGUGUUUUAUGGCACUUUUUAAAUCCAUACCCACCUUGUGUGCAAUGUCAGUCGAUCUUCUUCAUGGAGAUCGACCAAACAUCAACCUUUAUCUUUUAACUCUUUGUCUGAAAAAUAUUAUGAAUAAACAAUUCUAAAUA
This 145-nucleotide unclassified non-coding RNA is filed under the name soil metagenome. RNAcentral describes it as "partial internal transcribed spacer 1". The record is from RNAcentral.